RNAcentral lists this ribosomal RNA (490 nucleotides) under uncultured bacterium. RNAcentral describes it as "partial 16S ribosomal RNA". It matches the Rfam family "Bacterial small subunit ribosomal RNA", at positions 30 to 507 of the family's 1533-position model. The record is from RNAcentral.
AUUGAACGCUGGCGGCAGGCCUAACACAUGCAAGUCGAACGGUAACAGGAAGCAGCUUGCUGCUUUGCUGACGAGAGGCGGACGGGUGAGUAAUGUCUGGGAAACUGCCCGAUGGAGGGGGAUAACUACUGGAAACGGUAGCUAAUACCGCAUAACGUCGCAAGACCAAAGAGGGGGACCUUAGGGCCUCUUGCCAUCGGAUGUGCCCAGAUGGGAUUAGCUAGUAGGUGGGGUAACGGCUCACCUAGGCGACGAUCCCUAGCUGGUCUGAGAGGAUGACCAGCCACACUGGAACUGAGACACGGUCCAGACUCCUACGGGAGGCAGCAGUGGGGAAUAUUGCACAAUGGGCGCAAGCCUGAUGCAGCCAUGCCGCGUGUAUGAAGAAGGCCUUCGGGUUGUAAAGUACUUUCAGCGGGGAGGAAGGGAGUAAAGUUAAUACCUUUGCUCAUUGACGUUACCCGCAGAAGAAGCACCGGCUAACUCCGUG